CCUCGGAUCAGGUAGGGAUACCCGCUGAACUUAAGCAUAUCAAUAAGCGGAGGAAAAGAAACCAACCGGGAUUGCCUCAGUAACGGCGAGUGAAGCGGCAAGAGCUCAAAUUUGAAAGCUGGCCCCUCCGGGGUCCGCGUUGUAAUUUGCAGAGGAUGCUUCGGGUGCAGCCCCCGUCUAAGUGCCCUGGAACGGGCCGUCAUAGAGGGUGAGAAUCCCGUAUGGGGCGGGGUGUCUGCGUCCGUGUGAAGCUCCUUCGACGAGUCGAGUUGUUUGGGAAUGCAGCUCUAAAUGGGUGGUAAAUUUCAUCUAAAGCUAAAUACUGGCCGGAGACCGAUAGCGCACAAGUAGAGUGAUCGAAAGAUGAAAAGCACUUUGAAAAGAGAGUUAAAUAGCACGUGAAAUUGUUGAAAGGGAAGCGCUUGCAACCAGACUCGCCUCCGGGGUUCAGCCGGCCUUCGGGCCGGUGUACUUCCCCGGGGGCGGGCCAGCGUCGGUUUGGGCGGCCGGUCAAAGGCCUCCGGAAUGUAGCGCCCUUCGGGGCGCCUUAUAGCCGGGGGUGCAAUGCGGCCAGCCUGGACCGAGGAACGCGCUUCGGCACGGACGCUGGCAUAAUGGUUGUAAACGACC
Molecule: ribosomal RNA, 630 nt
Filed under: Aspergillus microcysticus
Lineage: Eukaryota; Fungi; Ascomycota; Eurotiomycetes; Eurotiales; Aspergillaceae
Description: eukaryotic LSU rRNA
Rfam family: Eukaryotic large subunit ribosomal RNA
Source: RNAcentral